Molecule: transfer RNA, 112 nt
Filed under: Caudoviricetes sp.
Lineage: Duplodnaviria; Heunggongvirae; Uroviricota; Caudoviricetes
Description: tRNA-Val
Source: RNAcentral
AGUUCCUUAGCUCAGUUGGUUUAGAGCAGCUCCCUUACAAGGAGAAGGUCAACAGUUCGGAGAUUGGUUAAAGAAGGUUACAAAACUUAUCGUUGUGAGAUUUGUGGAAUUA